Molecule: transfer RNA, 64 nt
Filed under: Himalopsyche malenanda
Lineage: Eukaryota; Metazoa; Arthropoda; Insecta; Trichoptera; Rhyacophilidae
Description: tRNA-His
Source: RNAcentral
ACUUAAUUAGUUUAAAUAAAAUUUUAAUUUGUGGAAUUAAAGAUAAAAAUUAUUUUAUUAGGUA